UUCCAAUGGAGGCAGCUACCAGCCGGUUGAGACGCACACAAAGACACGAUCGAGCGUCUCAGCUGUUGUGUGAGUGUGUGUGAGCGUGCUGUCAUCUCAUCUGCCAAAUAAGAAAGCACUAGCUCAGUAAAGCAAUGCUAAAUAUAUAUGUACAUAUACUCUGCCAGCUCAGCUCGUCAGCCUGAUCAGGUUGAGUGUGAGAACGUAACUCCCUAGACACUCAGAGAAAAUUAGUGAUCCAUUUUCAGUGGUUCCUCGCCUAUUUAAGUGCGAGCCUGCAGCAGAGCUCGAUCAGUUGUGUUCCUGACGUUGUGGCAUUCAGUUGGCGAGCAGUGUUCCUCUUUUGUGUUGGAUACGUAUUUUAGUUAAUAAUUUGUUAAUAACUAAUAGUUUGUAAGCUAUACAUAAUCUUAAGAAUUGUAUGAUAAACAAUGUAAUUAAUAUAUAUUUGUUUUAAUAUUUGUAUUAUAAUUAUCUCAUCAUCGUCAUCUACUUCAUCAUUUUUCUUCUUCAUUAUGCUAAUCUUCUUCUUCAUCUCUGCCGCCAUCAACUUCAUCAUCAAUUAUAAUUACAACUAUUAAGUAUCAAGCACAAUUAUCAAAUUGUGUUGCCUUACAUAACAACCUUAUUAGCUUCAUUUUUCAAAUAGCAAUAACUAUAAUCAUAAUUAUCAUUCUACACAUUUUUAUAAUAAUUAUGACUAUUCGAGUAUAUGUCUCUACAUAUGUAUAUUACAACUUUUCCCCUUAUUUUAUGUUUACAGCCAACAUUAAAAAUUUUUGUCUUAAUGUGAUCGAUAUUCUGGCUCUUUAGCAAUUAUUUCUGCAAGUUUCUAAUAAUAAUAUAAUAUAAAAUAAUAAUAAUAUAUCCUCAUAGCAUUUAUUAAGGCUAUGACUCUUUCUUGCAAUUUUCGCUCUAGCCUAUAUCCUUUUCUCUUUUAGUUAAGUAUAGAGUGUUUGAAAGUUAGUAAGCUUCCCCAAUAAUAUGCAUAAUUAAAAAAUUUAUUACGAAUAUCAUUUCAGAGAAAUUUGUAAUUGGAUAUUACAACCUUGUGAAAUUGUAAAUUUAAUUAUGAUUCGAUCAUAAAACCGACUCUGCAGAAAUAAGCUUUGCAAUUUUAUUUCUUCUCACAUAUAUAAUCUAUAAAAUUCGCUGUUUGCUGUAAUAAAAUCCGUACACCCAUCCACGGUGCCAGCGACUGGAACAUAAGCAAUGGGCGUGUUUUCACUGCUGCCCAUUGGCGAAACCCAACGCUUAUAUACUCGUUCGUAUAUCUUAUAGAAAACAAUUUAAUCCAACUGUUUAGCUGCUUUGUGUCGCUCUAAUUUUUUCCAGCUCUUUGUGCUUUUGCC
This is a long non-coding RNA of Drosophila mojavensis, 1352 nucleotides long. RefSeq lists it as uncharacterized. Lineage: Eukaryota; Metazoa; Arthropoda; Insecta; Diptera; Drosophilidae. The transcript is spliced from 3 exons. The record is from RefSeq and is a predicted model, not a curated record.